RNAcentral lists this ribosomal RNA (528 nucleotides) under uncultured bacterium. RNAcentral's name for it is "bacterial SSU rRNA". It matches the Rfam family "Bacterial small subunit ribosomal RNA", at positions 971 to 1501 of the family's 1533-position model. The record is from RNAcentral.
UUACCUGGGCUUGAACUGUACCUGACAGGUGUAGAGAUACACCCUUCUUCGGACAGGUAUAGAGGUGCUGCAUGGCUGUCGUCAGCUCGUGUCGUGAGAUGUUGGGUUAAGUCCCGCAACAAGCGCAACCCUUACCCCUUGUUGCUAUCAGGUAAAGCUGGGCACUCUAGGGGAACUGCCGGUGAUAAACCGGAGGAAGGUGGGGAUGACGUCAAGUCAUCACGGCCCUUAUGUCCAGGGCUACACACGUGCUACAAUGGCCGGUACAAAGAGACGCAAUGCCGCGAGGUGGAGCAAAUCUCAAAAAACCGGUCUCUGUUCGGAUUGUAGUCUGCAACUCGACUAUAUGAAGCUGGAAUCGCUAGUAAUCGUAGAUCAGCACGCUACGGUGAAUACGUUCCCGGGCCUUGUACACACCGCCCGUCACACCAUCUGAGUUGGCAGCACCCGAAGUGGCUGAUCUAACCGUAAGGAGGAAGGUUACUAAGGUGAAGUCGGUGAAGAGGGUGAAGUCGUAACAAGGUAGCC